RNAcentral lists this transfer RNA (76 nucleotides) under Mogibacterium sp. RNAcentral's name for it is "tRNA-Thr". It matches the Rfam family "tRNA". Rfam says of the family: Transfer RNA (tRNA) molecules are approximately 80 nucleotides in length. Their secondary structure includes four short double-helical elements and three loops (D, anti-codon, and T loops). Lineage: Bacteria; Bacillati; Bacillota; Clostridia; Peptostreptococcales; Anaerovoracaceae. The record is from RNAcentral.
GCUUCCGUGGCUCAGCUGGUAGAGCAACGCAUUCGUAAUGCGUAGGUCGCCGGUUCGAAUCCGGCCGGGAGCUCCA